RNAcentral lists this ribosomal RNA (497 nucleotides) under uncultured bacterium. Its description in RNAcentral is "partial 16S ribosomal RNA". It matches the Rfam family "Bacterial small subunit ribosomal RNA", at positions 28 to 507 of the family's 1533-position model. The record is from RNAcentral.
GAUGAACGCUGGCGGCGUGCCUAAUACAUGCAAGUCGAGCGAACGGACGAGAAGCUUGCUUCUCUGAUGUUAGCGGCGGACGGGUGAGUAACACGUGGAUAACCUACCUAUAAGACUGGGAUAACUUCGGGAAACCGUAGCUAAUACCGGAUAAUAUUUUGAACCGCAUGGUUCAAAAGUGAAAGACGGUCUUGCUGUCACUUAUAGAUGGAUCCGCGCUGCAUUAGCUAGUUGGUAAGGUAACGGCUUACCAAGGCAACGAUGCAUAGACGACCUGAGAGAGUGAUCGCCCACACGGGAACUGAGACACGGUCCAGACUCCUGCGGGAGGCAGCAGUAGGGAAUCUUCCGCAAUGGGCGAAAGCCUGACGGAGCAACGCCGCGUGAGUGAUGAAGGUCUUCGGAUCGUAAAACUCUGUUAUUAGGGAAGAACAUAUGUGUAAGUAACUGUGCACAUCUUGACGGUACCUAAUCAGAAAGCCACGGCUAACUACGUG